CUAAUUUUUAUCCACAUUUUUGUCAAACGUUUUUUUUUAAAUAAUAAAUUAAACAUUUUUUAAUGCUAACUUUUUGUUUAAUGGUAUUUAAAUGAAAUCCUUCUUGAAUAUAUCUACUUUUUUCGUCCAUCUUGCUACUUUAUCGUGCUUUAUAACUGCUAUUUGUUCUCUUCUACCACAUUUGUUCAAAUUGUAUUAAAGAAAAUAAGAAAAAAAAACAUAUUAUUCAUUUACAUUAUUGCGUAUGUUAAUUGUUUAUACAUAUAUAACAUUCAACUGAUACAUGGUCUUGUUAGCUGUGGUCUUAUAUAUUAUUUAAUAAAUGCAUAUGUAUGAGCCCCUGGAAUAAAUGUAUAAUAUUUGAUAUAAUAUUGCAUUAAAACCCAUGAGCUCCAACAUAAUUGUUUAGUUGUAAAUGUUUGUAUGUGGUUGAAAAAUAUUUAUAAUUUAUAUAUAUUGAUAUAUCUACAUUCAAUAGAGUUAUACAAUUAAACUGUGUAUUAACAGUCAAAAAAAUGUAAUCAAAAACGUGGUAAGGGAUGUUUAACAAGUAGUUGUUAUAUAAGUGUAUAUAAUUAAUAUUAUCUGAAUUAUGAAUUUUAAAAUAAUUUACCAAUCAAAUAAUAGUUAUCUUACUUAAGCUAUUAUUUUCACUGAUCAGGUGUAAUGUAAUUGUAUAAAUGAAAAUAAAAAGAGAAUCAAAAAUUACGCAAAAAUGAGUUGAUAAAAAAAAGUACAGAAUGUCUGCUAGAAAAAUAGUAAUUUGUGUCACAAUCUUAAUUAAUAUAAAAUCAUUAUCAAUACAUUAAAUUGUUUCUUUUUAUAAUUAUUAUAUCAUACAUGAGUUAUUUAAAUGUCGUGUUAAGAAAAAACGUGAUUUUGAAGAAUUUUAAUUAAAUUUGCAAUUUUUUAAAAACCCAAGGAGUGUUAAAUAUUGUUUUUGUUUCAUAAAAAAAAAAUAAGAUCAGAAUAUAUCCUUUUUUUUAUAUUUAUGCACAUGAUCAAAAUGUUUUUUUCUGAGUAUAAUUCCAUUGAAAAUUUGGUAUAAUGGGUGGUCAAAAAUACCUACUUUAGGUACUAACUUUGUGAAUUGUCACACUUCAAAGCUUUUUUAUAUUGUGUUGAAAGAUCAUUAAGAUUUCCAUUGUUCUUGAACCAAACAAUUCGCUAAUAUCAUAUGCAUAAAAAAUGCAUCUAAUUCAUCAAUUUCUUGAAAUCUUUGAUAAAUAUCCACCAUCAUAAAGUUGGCCCAUUUUUUUUUUAUGAUAUGACAUAUUAAUCGAAUCAUUGAAAUGGUCUGGUUCAAGUUGAAUCACCGUUUUAUGAUACAUAAUAGCCUUUCAUACUUUCGAUGUCUUCGUAGUCUUCCUCACUAUUCGGGUUCCAGUACCACACAGUUUCUAAUGCUGCGUUUACAAUGAGUCCAAGUACCAAAAAACCAACUGAGCCAACGAGGGAAAUCAUUGGUCCGACGUCGGGUAUCUCAGUCGCGAUAAUUACUGCAAUCACACGUAAAACCAUAAGACAUACAUUAAUAAUUUACCCAUCAACUUGUCACGAUCAAACUCGAACUUAUAUCAAUAAAUUAUCGAUAGUUUGUCUGUCCAUAAAUAAGAUGUGCGAUAACACACACGAAACGAUAUACCUACUUCAAGUCGUCAAGUAUCUAGUUCGCACACUAACAUAACACGCUCGCAUUCUUUGCACCUUCUGCAAUGUACGUUUAUUUUGUUAAUCGAAACAUAAUUUAUGAAACUUUUUUAUUGCAGUUUCAAUAGAAAUUUCUCUGUUUAUAUAACACUAUUUCAUAUUCAAUUCUUUCUUUAUUCUUUGCGACUUCUUCAAAGCAUGUUUAUUUAUUUCGUCUAGUUUUUUCAGAUCUUACGUCCCCUUGAAAUCAGUGCCGUUGCUAGAAUGUUCUUGUUUUUUUUAUUCAGUUCUCAGAAAAACUUUAGUCUCGGUCUUUCUUUUCAGCCAUUGCCACACUAGGUCCUCGGUGUCAGUCAGCUGGAGUCCGUAUGUCACUAUAAAUCCCAAAGUUACUGCGAUUUUUACAGCCUCCGAAAGUUUGUACGAACACGAAAUCGACAACUACAAUAUAAUAAAUUAUAAUACUUAUCACGUGACACACCGUUUACAGGCGUAGCGUAUAGGUAAUUUAUAUGUAAAAUAUCAUGUCCCCUGUUUUCUGAUGGUAAGUUGAGUGGCACACUGCCCAAGCACCGUUCUCCGUAGCGUAUGUAUCCGAAAAAGCCCAAAGUGCCGUUGAGUCUAAUGAUGAUUAGCAUAUACCAGUGUAAUGUACAGUCAGGUGAUCCGGUGAGUUCACGUGUUUUUUUCAUUGCGUUUUCGAUGUGCAUCAGCUUUAUACGUCAAAGGUACGGGUAUUUACGUGCGUCUCGUGGCGAGCACCAGCGAGCAUGUACGACCCAGACAAGUUCGGAUAAUAAUAUACAUGCCGGAUAGUAAUAAUAACAUGUUUGGUUCUAAAAUACGUAAGUAUAUUAAUAAUCGCACAUUAUGCGCUCUUCGCCUUUUCCGUUACAGCUUGUUGACCUUCACACUAUUGACGCAGAAGUGGGCACUUGGGGCUACGCAUUGCACGGGUUGUCUAUCUGCUGGACCCAUUGUUCGUAGCUCUACUGAUCAUAUUCUAUUUUAUUUUCACUGACCCUGGAGGACGAAGCUGAGGGAGCCAAGAAGAACGUUCCCAAUUAGUGGUAUGGCCGAUGACUCACUGGUGUCUGUUUGCCGGAAGUGCUCUAUGCUCAAUGGAGGGCGUUGGAAUGUUGAAUAUGUCAUCCGUCCGUCCAUCUCAUGCCGUACUCGAAUACUCGUACCUUUUACGUAGAAAGCUGCCACUCAAUUUCCAUAGGAUAACUGGUCGGUAAAUAAACAAUGCUCAGCAUUCCAACGCCCUCUAUUGAGCACAGAGCACUUCCGGCAAACAGCGACCAGUGAGUAAUCGGCCACAUCACCAAUUUGGAACGUUCCUCUGGACUGAGGGUCGCGUCCUCCGUCGUCAGUGAAAAUAAAAUAAAAUAAUAUAACGGUGCCUGCCAAAAUUAGCGUGUUGGCAGUCCGUGCAAUGCAUAGCUCCAAGUGCCCACUUCUGCGUCAAUAGUAUGAAGGUCGACAAGCUGCAACGGAAAAGGCGAAGAGCACAUAAUUUGCAAUUAUUAAUAUACGUAUUUUAGAACCCUUCAAGUUACCCAAACAUGAUAUUAUUAACUAUCUGGCAUGUAUGUUAUCAUCCGAACUUGUCUGGGUCGCACCUGCUUGCUAGUGCUGGCCAUUAUACACACGUAAAUACCCGUACCUUUGACGUAUAAAGCUGAUGCACAUCGAAAACGCAAUGAAAAAACCACGUCAACUCACCGGAUCACCUGACUGUACAUUACACUGGUAUAUGCUAAUCAUCAUUAUACUCAACGGCGCUUUGGGCUUCUCCGGAUAUGUACGCUACGAGGAACGAUGCUUGGGCAGUGUGCCACUCAACUUACCAUCAGAAAACAGGGGACCUGCUAUUCUAAAUAUAAAUUACCUAUACGCUACGCCUGUAAACGGCGUGUCACGUGAUGAGUAUUAUAAUUUAUUAUAUUGCAAUUGUCGAUUUCGUGUCUGUACAGACUUUCGGAGGCUGUGAAAAUCACAGUAACUUUGGGAUUUCUAAUGACUUCUGGACUCCAGCUGACUGUCACUGUGGACCUAUUGUGGCAAUGACUCGAAAGAAAGACCGAGACAAAAGUUUUUUUCGAGAACUAGAUCAAAAAAACAAGAAGAAUCUAGCAGCGGCGCUGACGUCAAGGGAUGUAAAGUCUGAAAAACCAGACGUAAAAUCGCCGCCCGCAAAACAUUACGACAUGUGAAAAAUUCCACAUAUGUUAUUUUGGCCUUGUCCGCACUGAACGGUGGAGACUUCUAAAAUCUACGAGAGAUGUUUCCUCCGGCCCACGGAACACACACUAUAAUUCCAGAUUGAUAAUCGACCAUUCCAUAACACCAAUGGGCCAAGUCAACGACAUGGGCCCGUAGUUGGCGAAGACACCAACAACAGGAUACCCACGUCUCAAACCAUCAGUUGUCACUCAUUGUAACGUAUAAUUUUCCCCAUCAUACCCCCAACCACCCCACACAAGCACGUAUUAAAGGCGUCGCAUGAUGCAGGUCUCUUUCUUUCCAUUUCCUUAUUCUAAUUAUUUAUUUAUUAUAAUUGAUCAUCUUGUUUUAUUGUGGAAAGUCGUAAAUCACAUGACCAAAAGAAAAAUACACUUAGAAAAUCAAUAUAAAAAUACCACUAUUAAAACAUUAUUAUUAUUAAAAGAUUUACGCUUAGACGGCGUACGGGUCACAGAUCGCCUUGCUCUGGCGCCGACACCGAGAUGUUUUAUUGUAUACAGAGCAUAAGCUCACAAAAUGAUUAUUAUUCGUGUCGACGCUUGCUACAUUAUUUGCAAUGAUCUAAUAUUAUUCUUUAAAUUAAAAUACAUGUCCUUAUUAUUAUUCCUCUUGAACCUGCCAAGUGCCAUAAACUGUAAUAUUUUUUCUGCACUUGCCACGUGCUAACAAAUUAUUAUUUCCCCGAAGCCACACUCAAAAAAUUGUUAUUGUAUUAUUUACUACGUGAACGAAAUUAUUAUUAUAAAUUGUAAUUGACCAUUAUUAUUAUUUUGUUAAUUACCUUGGUCAAAUGCCGACGAUCGUAAAAAAAAUAUAUUCAAUAGUGUACUUGGAGAAAAAUAGUUUAUAGGUGACAUAAUUCUGCAUCUUACAAUAAUAAUCCUUAUAUAAUUUGAUUUGUUUUUAAUUUAAUUUUUAGUCUUAUUAUUUAAUUUUGUUUCUUAUUUAAAAAAUGUUUAAUUUUUGUAUUUAUUUUGUACCACUCUAUAUUUUAUUAACUUUAAUUUGAAAUGUAUUUAUUGUAUUUAUUUAUUUGUUAUUAUUAUAUUGUAUACAAAAUGUCAACAAAAUAAUGUUAAACUCCUACUCCAUUACAAGCUAAACUACAGGAGUCGUACCUAUAUUUACAUUCUAACUGUAUUGUUAUAGAGGAAAAAAAAUUACAUGCGCACCAGCUAUGUGCAUAAAAAUGAUUAUUAUAAAACUGUCAUUCUUUUUAUGUAUUUCACUACAAAUUUUCACUUUUUGUUGGAUGUAAAAUAUAAAAUCAUGAUAACCUUUAAA
Long non-coding RNA from Metopolophium dirhodum (rose-grain aphid), 5184 nucleotides. RefSeq lists it as uncharacterized. The transcript has 2 exons. The record is from RefSeq and is a predicted model, not a curated record. Lineage: Eukaryota; Metazoa; Arthropoda; Insecta; Hemiptera; Aphididae.